GAUGAACGCUAGCGGCAGGCUUAAUACAUGCAAGUCGAGGGGCAGCACAGGUAGCAAUACUGGGUGGCGACCGGCAAACGGGUGCGGAACACGUACGCAACCUUCCUUUAAGCGGGGAAUAGCCCAGGGAAACUUGGAUUAAUACCCCAUAAGAUUAUGGUGUGGCAUCACACAGUAAUUAAAGCUACGGCACUUAAAGAUGGGCGUGCGGCUGAUUAGGUAGUUGGCGGGGUAACGGCCCACCAAGCCAACGAUCAGUAACUGGUGUGA
This 270-nucleotide ribosomal RNA is filed under the name uncultured bacterium. RNAcentral describes it as "partial 16S ribosomal RNA". It matches the Rfam family "Bacterial small subunit ribosomal RNA", at positions 28 to 295 of the family's 1533-position model. The record is from RNAcentral.